Molecule: long non-coding RNA, 229 nt
Filed under: Physcomitrium patens
Lineage: Eukaryota; Viridiplantae; Streptophyta; Bryopsida; Funariales; Funariaceae
Description: long non-coding RNA (PPAT_LNC012120)
Source: RNAcentral
UCUCCAUUGAAAAACUCUUCUAUUUCUUCAACUUCUUCUUCUUGAGCCUCACUUAAGCUAAUUUUUUGCUCUUCUUUGUAGCCAUCAUUAAUCAUAGGAUCACUGUCACGGACACAAAAUACAGACUUGAAAUCUAACAAGAAGUUCAAGAAGAAGUGGCAGAACUAGAUCAAACAGAUGAGUACAAGAACAACACCAGAAAGGUGAGCUAGAACUCCAAGAGAUGUGU